RNAcentral lists this ribosomal RNA (460 nucleotides) under uncultured bacterium. RNAcentral's name for it is "partial 16S ribosomal RNA". It matches the Rfam family "Bacterial small subunit ribosomal RNA", at positions 338 to 795 of the family's 1533-position model. The record is from RNAcentral.
GCUACGGGAGGCAGCAGUGAGGAAUAUUGGUCAAUGGGCGCGAGCCUGAACCAGCAAAGUAGCGUGAAGGAUGACUGCCCUACGGGUUGUAAACUUCUUUUAUAAAGGAAUAAAGUGAGGCACGUGUGCCUUUUUGUAUGUACUUUAUGAAUAAGGAUCGGCUAACUCUGUGCCAGCAGCCGCGGUAAUACGGGGGAUCCGAGCGUUAUCCGGAUUUAUUGGGUUUAAAGGGAGCGUAGAUGGGUUGUUAAGUCAGUUGUGAAAUGUAGCGGCUCAACCAAAAAAUUGCAAUUGAUACUGGCAGUCUUGAGUACAGUUGAGGUAGGCGGAAUUCGUGGUGUAGCGGUGAAAUGCUUAGAUAUCACGAAGAACUCCGAUUGCGAAGGCAGCUUACUAAACUGCCACUGACAUUGAUGCUCGAAAGUGUGGGUAUCAAACAGGAUUAGAUACCCCGGUAGUC